CGCCGUCGACGAUCCGCGAGGAAGAGCUGCAUCAUCGAGUUGCCGUAUUCAGUCCGACCCCCGCAAAUUAUCAGGGUGCUUACUGGCACAUCUUUGUGUGUGCGUUUUUUUUUUGCGCGCCAGCCUCCGCCGUUUACAAGCUUACCUUCGCGCCAUGUCGAGCAGCGCAGGGGCGUCGUCCUCGCCCAUGUCAACCGAUCGCUGCUCCUUUUACUGUCCCGUGUGCAACAUUCAGUUUUCGGACUCGCACGCCGCAGAGGCGCACAAGGCCAGCCGCCAGCACAAACGGAAGAGCGGCGAGCUCGAGUGGGAAGCGCAGCAGUACAAGAAAGACGCCGAUGUGACCCCCGACGAUGUGUGGGCGCUCGUGCGGCGCAAGCAGGCCGAGCUCCACGUCAUCCCCUGGAGCGAGCUCAAGUACAGCGAGGAGGAGAGCACGGCAUGAGAGGGAACGGCGUGCCGCCUAGGUGCGCAUGUGUGUGGCCGUGCUAUGUGGCGCCACAGCAGCUCAGCCGGGUGCAGACAAGUGAGACGCUUUCCGCGCGAUUGGAGACGUGGUGAACGUCCCGGCACUGCCUUUUUUGUGUGUGUAUGUGUGUGUGGUGGCUUCCGUGCAUGUGGGCGUGUAUGAUUCAGCCCCGAGCACGCGGGCAUCUACGCAGGGAAAGGCCGAGGCAAGAGAAACAGAGGUGAGCGCGCACACAGAGAGAGCAGAUCUUCAGAGUGGUGCGGAGGUCUGCGGGAGAGAUGAGGCUCGGUGGAGCAGCAGCACGGUGGCACACCGCCUGCCGUCCAGCCGGUUUCGCUCACCGAACCCCCUCCGCAGACGGACAUCGCGCGGGAGCGAAAGGGCGAGCAUGCACGGGGUCGUGAGAGCAAAGUUUGCGCGCGCUGCGUUGCCAUGCCGUGCCUGUCGUGCUGCCCGCUCUAGCUUCCGCUGCUUGUGUUUCUUUUCGGCUGCAUCAUGUGCUACACCUUCCCCCCUCUCUCUGCCUCCGCCUCCGCUUCCGGACUCAG
This 1017-nucleotide unclassified non-coding RNA is filed under the name Leishmania donovani. Its description in RNAcentral is "gene:LdHU3.18.1010(CDS-product:Zinc-finger_of_C2H 2_type/Zinc-finger_double-stranded_RNA-binding_putative)". The record is from RNAcentral. Lineage: Eukaryota; Euglenozoa; Kinetoplastea; Trypanosomatida; Trypanosomatidae.